RNAcentral lists this transfer RNA (72 nucleotides) under Bos taurus (domestic cattle). It matches the Rfam family "tRNA". Rfam says of the family: Transfer RNA (tRNA) molecules are approximately 80 nucleotides in length. Lineage: Eukaryota; Metazoa; Chordata; Mammalia; Artiodactyla; Bovidae. RNAcentral also lists the same sequence under 4 other names. The record is from Rfam by way of RNAcentral.
UCCUGGGUAGCUCAGCUGGUAAAGAAUCUGCCUGCAGUGCAGAAUACCCCAGUUCAAUUCCUGGGUCAGGAA